RNAcentral lists this ribosomal RNA (481 nucleotides) under uncultured bacterium. RNAcentral describes it as "partial 16S ribosomal RNA". It matches the Rfam family "Bacterial small subunit ribosomal RNA", at positions 28 to 507 of the family's 1533-position model. The record is from RNAcentral.
GAUGAACGCUGGCGGCGUGCUUAACACAUGCAAGUCGAACGAAGCAUUUAGAACAGAUUACUUCGGUUUGAAGUUCUUUGUGACUGAGUGGCGGACGGGUGAGUAACGCGUGGGUAACCUGCCUUGUACUGGGGGAUAGCAGCUGGAAACGGCUGGUAAUACCGCAUAAGCGCACAAUGUUGCAUGACAUGGUGUGAAAAACUCCGGUGGUAUAAGAUGGACCCGCGUCUGAUUAGCUAGUUGGUGAGAUAACAGCCCACCAAGGCGACGAUCAGUAGCCGACCUGAGAGGGUGACCGGCCACAUUGGGACUGAGACACGGCCCAGACUCCUACGGGAAGCAGCAGUGGGGAAUAUUGCACAAUGGAGGAAACUCUGAUGCAGCGACGCCGCGUGAGUGAAGAAGUAAUUCGUUAUGUAAAGCUCUAUCAGCAGGGAAGAUAGUGACGGUACCUGACUAAGAAGCGCCGGCUAAAUACGUG